GUUAAGCGACUAAGCGUACACGGUGGAUGCCCUGGCAGUCAGAGGCGAUGAAGGACGUGCUAAUCUGCGAUAAGCGUCGGUAAGGUGAUAUGAACCGUUAUAACCGGCGAUUUCCGAAUGGGGAAACCCAGUGUGUUUCGACACACUAUCAUUAACUGAAUCCAUAGGUUAAUGAGGCGAACCGGGGGAACUGAAACAUCUAAGUACCCCGAGGAAAAGAAAUCAACCGAGAUUCCCCCAGUAGCGGCGAGCGAACGGGGAGGAGCCCAGAGCCUGAAUCAGUAUGUGUGUUAGUGGAAGCGUCUGGAAAGGCGCGCGAUACAGGGUGACAGCCCCGUACACAAAAAUGCACAUAUUGUGAGCUCGAUGAGUAGGGCGGGACACGUGGUAUCCUGUCUGAAUAUGGGGGGACCAUCCUCCAAGGCUAAAUACUCCUGACUGACCGAUAGUGAACCAGUACCGUGAGGGAAAGGCGAAAAGAACCCCGGCGAGGGGAGUGAAAAAGAACCUGAAACCGUGUACGUACAAGCAGUGGGAGCACGCUUAGGCGUGUGACUGCGUACCUUUUGUAUAAUGGGUCAGCGACUUAUAUUCUGUAGCAAGGUUAACCGAAUAGGGGAGCCGAAGGGAAACCGAGUCUUAACUGGGCGUUAAGUUGCAGGGUAUAGACCCGAAACCCGGUGAUCUAGCCAUGGGCAGGUUGAAGGUUGGGUAACACUAACUGGAGGACCGAACCGACUAAUGUUGAAAAAUUAGCGGAUGACUUGUGGCUGGGGGUGAAAGGCCAAUCAAACCGGGAGAUAGCUGGUUCUCCCCGAAAGCU
This 823-nucleotide ribosomal RNA is filed under the name Escherichia coli. Its description in RNAcentral is "partial 23S ribosomal RNA". It matches the Rfam family "Bacterial large subunit ribosomal RNA", at positions 1 to 867 of the family's 2925-position model. The record is from RNAcentral. Lineage: Bacteria; Pseudomonadati; Pseudomonadota; Gammaproteobacteria; Enterobacterales; Enterobacteriaceae.